GGUUCCUUUAAUACAUCACAAAAACACAUGUUAGGAGAACAAAACCAUAAUCAAGUAGGGAAUUUCCUUAUAGUAUUCAUGAUCUAAUAGUUUAAACUUUUCUUUUAAGUAUUACCUUCAUUGAGUAUAUAUUUAACAAAUAUCCAGAUUCAAGUUAAUUAAUAAUUGCAAAUGGGAAAAUUAUUUAAAAUAUAAUAUUAAACAAAAAAUAUUUAAAUCUAAAGUAAGUUUUUUAAAAAAACUUCUGUCAACAUGAGACACAGCAAAGUGCCCUUUUUUUCCUUCAAGCAGAUAAUAGCAUUAAAUUUAAAAAUAAAAACCUAUAGCAUUUAGGCACUAUGGCUCAAAAUUGAAACAGGAACUACCUUAUUGGCAAAUAACAAUCUGUCACAUAGUACAUUUAAGAGAAAAUUUGUAAUAAAUUUUGAGGCCAACAUUUUUCUUUUGGUUUUUCACUGUUGAACAUUAAAAGCAUUCUGAUGCAUUUUUAAAAAUAGACUCGACAUUCAAAAUAUUUUCCAUUGUUCACUUCACAUGGCAAAAGCAAACCUGAAGAGUGCCUCAUGCUAUGUGCAGCUUGUAAACCAUGAACCUUUCUGACUUGUAUGGGAAGCACAGUUGGAAAACACUUUCCUUGACUAUAGCAGGGACUGGCUUAGACUUUUGCAAGGCAGCCAUGCCCUGCUGAACCUUAUUUAUGGAGGAAGCUCCUCUCAGUCUGAGUAAUUUCCCAUCAUGGCUCUGAUUUUCUUGACUCUUUGAACCUAGUUGUAUGUGUGUGUACGUGUACAGCACAUGGCACGUGCACACACAUACAGUCAUUUCCAACAUUACUUUUUGUUUUCUGCUACUGGUAUUGCUCCUUUCUAGUUAGCCUACUGGGGAGAAAGUCACUGUUGAGUCUCCCACCUUUCAUCAAACCCCACAAAUCACUCCUAAUUGUUAUUUCUAUCUUUGAAGAAUGAUUGUUUCUGAGGACAGCUGCUCCUACCCUCUUCCCCAUUUCCUUGGGUUCUGCAUUUAAAAAUUUCACUAACUAUGGGUUGAAAAUUUUUGAAAAAAAUAUCUCAUUUUCCUUGUCAUUAUUUCCUAAACAAUAGAGUAUGACAGCUAUAAAGCCAUGUACAGUACAUUAAGUAUGAAAACUAUUUAUAAAGCAUGUACAGUGCAUUAAGUAUUAUGAGUAAUCUAGAGAUAAUUAAAAGUAUGCAGGAGGAUAUUUAUAGGGUAUAUGCAAAUACAGUGCCAUUGUAUAUAAGGAACUUGAGUAUCCAUCUUUUUUUUUUUCUUGGUGUCUGUGGGAUAUGCUGGAACCAAUGCAAAUCAAAAGGGAUAAUUGUACAGUUAUAGAUUUAUUAUGUACACACCCAACACAUGUAUACAGACAACAGACCCAUGCACUAUUAUUAAUUCCAGAUUCUCAGCUUGCUGUCCAUAGUCUUGGGAUAGUUUUAGCACUUGUCAGUUCGUUUUCUGUCCCCUUAUAUAUCAUGCAGUAUUUGCCCCCGUGGUUCCCUUCUUCAUGUUGGCCUAUUCAUGAUGAUGAGUGAAAUCUUUUAGAAUCACAUUCAUCUCCCUUUCCUGAUUAAACAUCCCCACUGACUUUCCAUUCCAUACUGAAAAAAAACUUUUACUCUAGCAUGACAUUUGAAAAUCAUUGCAAUCAAAGCCUUCCUGAGUUACCCAAACCAGUUUUUUUUUUUCUUAAGAUUUUCAUAGUUCCAUACCCAAUGUGUAUUAUCUACUCAGUGAUUUUUGGAACUCUCUUGUCAGAGUUAUGCUCAAUUUUCUUUUUCCAUUUUUAAAUUUUUUGAAAAGAAUAUUUUAAAGAUUGCUUAUAUCCUUAAUAUAGACUAUCAGAAGGUUUAAGAUCUUUAGAAAUGAACUACUACAGAUUUGCUCACCUUACAGGUGAGAGACUGAGGACCACUGAGAGGAGACAACCUGCUCAGGACCCAGUCCAGUCCUGUUGGAUACCCAACAUAUACUGUUUUCAUUUUUAUUGGUUUAUUUUCAGAUGUUAAAAUUCAUCUAUUUGCCCUGAGUUGAAGACUCUAGCUUUAAUAAUUUUGUAUCCUAUGCAGUGCCUACAUAUAUUAGGCACUUGGUCAAUGUUUGAUGAACAAUAUGUGACUACCAGUAUAAAAGCAAGUGCUGUAAAGAAACUGACUUACUAUUCGGACUCUACAUAUGCUCUACUACAGGAGCAUUUUUGUGAGCUAAAUGACUAAUAAUGACCCCCAUCAUCACCAAGUUUCAAAUCAAAGAAAAUGAACACAAACUACAGGGAGUUUCUUGGAAGAGCUAAACUCAUGGCACUUGCUCUUCCUCAAGUUUUGAGUCCAUAAAGCAUAACCAGGUGGGAGAGAAACUGGUAUGAUGAGCGGUGGUGAUGGGUGGUAGAUGAGUGGUUUUUUACAUGAAAUGGAAAGAAACCCCAGCUCUUCUAGAAUAAGCGAUCAGUGUCUCUGGAGUUCCUUUCCCUUAUCUAUCCCCAAAUUCCUGCCCUCUCCUGCCAUCCUGACUCUGCCCCACCCCAUACCCCUAUGCCAGUCUUUGCAUCUUGUCCCACACAGCUCUGACCUCUGGGUUGCUCAGGUCAGAAUCCUUUGGGCCAUUCUGGCUCCUUUAGUGGUUAAAUCCACUCCAUUAGCAACUCCUGUUGUCACUACAUUGGGAAUAUACUAGAAUCUGAUCCUUCAUUACCUCUUCACCACUAGGCUAGCCUUUUCUGUAUUUCACCUGCCCACAGUGUAUAUUAUCUCAUAUCCUCAUUUCUAGGCCUGGGAAAUGUAAACUCCAAGAAGACACAGUUUUUGUUCAUUGUUUUUUAAUGCUGUAUUUUCUAAUGUCUAGAAUACUGUCUGGCACAUCUGGCACAUAGUAGAUACUUCUUACAUACUGAUUGAGUGAAUCGACACGUCAGGUGAGAAUUGUCAGGAUAGAUAAAAAAGCAUAAUCCCAGAUAUUCUUGAGAAGGGUUCAGGUUAGUUGGAGACCAAAACCAGUAGAAAAUGGUGAGAAAGCAAGCAAUAAAGUGCUUGGUUGUACAUCCCAAGAGAGAAAGAGUCUGAGGGUCAGAGUAGAGAAGGUGGUUCCUAAGCGACUCUUAUAAUGUGUCGGGAGGCAGUGAUUAGGCUCCAGGAAGAUUGACGUCCGUGCUAGGACAGAUCCUAUGACAGUGCAGCCUUAGGGAACAGAGAGUGUGUUGGGGAAGGAGCAGCCCAGCCCAGUAGUCAGAGGCCUGUACCUAGUCAGGAGGUGGGAUGGGAAAGUCGUGUGUGCCAUGUGGCUCAGAAUGCAGAGGAUCUGGAGAUUUGGGUAGGAUGUUUCAACUUCAUCUGACAGAAAGAAGACACUAGUAUAGGUUUGUCUUUUUGUUUAUUUAUUUAAAUUUAUUUAUUUAUUCAUUUCUUUAUUUUGCAUUACAAUUCUUAAUACACCAUUAUACAAUAAUUUAACGUAUCUCUGAUUAUAUAUAAGGUAUGUUGACACCAAAUUCACAUCUUCAUACAUGUAUUUUGUAUAAUGAUGAGGAUCCUUAAAUGUGGGAGAAAAAUAAGAAAUUCUCUUGUCUGCAUUAAUUUAAUUUAAAGAGUCUUUCUGAAUCUGCUUUCUUAUCUCCUUGCUUUCCUAGGCCUUGGCAGAGAAGGGAGGAACAGCUUUUAUAACCAGCUGUUUUAUGGCAACAUCAAGGUUGUCACAUCACUCUAACGUCACCUUGCCAUAGGUUCUUCUCAGUGAUCAGUCACUUAAGGGUUAAAAAGAUGCUGCUUUUGAGUUCUCAGUUUGCUGGUAUUUUCAGGAUAUUUCUAAGCCCAAUUCAAAUACCACCUGGGGGGGAUGGGCAAGAGAAAAAGUUAUGUCAAUUUAACUUUAUGGGCUUUUUUUGUUUUGUUUUACGAUUGGCAAUUUCCAUAUUCUGUCCUUUCUUGAUAUUAUUUCUGUUAUGCUGGCUGAUUUUACCUGCUGUUAAAAGUAAAUGAAAGAAAAUUAUCCAUAAUAGCUUUUACACUUUUGUUGUUUACCAUGACUCAUGUGUCACUGCUAUCAGAAACAGACAGCAUUUGAACAUUAGUUAUCCUUUGUGACACCCAAGGGCUCAGUGUUGGAGGCAUUAGCACCUGGAGAAACUGUAUUAUGGUUUCUUAGUUCUGUUUAAUAAGCAUUUUUGAAUGUGUUGUGUGCACCAUCCCCUAGGGGACCAAGAUGGAUCCAUCUCUUUACUUUUGAUUCCAGAAAACACUUCUCUUCAUAAUUUUCCUCUCCCCAAUGCUUUUUUUUUCUCCUCUCAAUGUUUUUUUUUUUUUUUUUCUUUUUUCCCCUAUCAUCAAUUUAAGAUAUCUUAAAGUAUUCUGGCUUUUUAUUUGUUUUAAAUUGUUAUUUUAAUUAUACAAAUUUGUGAGGCAUGGGGGUGACAAUUUGAUAGAUACAUAUAUACGGGGUGCACUGUUCAAAGCAGGGUAUGUACUUUUUAAUUUUUUAAAAAUCACUACUGAUAUUACCAUCCUACAUUAGACCCUUACUGUCCUUUGUGAGACUUCUUUCAAUACUUUUUUCACUGACACUCUGUUGAUGUGAACUCUAGAAUGAUGUAAAACACAGAAUUGGCAUUUGUUUCUGUGAUUUAAACUCCCCCUGGAGUGGGGUCCAGGCUCCUUGCCCUGCCCAUUGGAGUCUGCACUGUGAUUUGGCCUCUGCUUUUCUGUGACUUCUGUCAUGCCCUUUCGGUUCCACCCACAGUGUCCACUGAACACCAAACUUCUCAUGACGCUGUGCAGUAAAGGUCUUCCCAGCCUUCAUCCUGCUGUCCAUCCUGAUCUUCCCGCCUAUAGAUGCCUCCUGCCUGGCCCAGCUCAGGCUGCUCUUCCGGAUACUUUCCCUUCCAACAUUCGUCCAUGAUUCCAUGGCAUCUUGUCAUCUCUCUCUCUCUCUCUCUCUCUCUCUCACCAAAUCUGUGCUGGAAACUCGGCCCUUUCCCUGUUCCUUAAUGGCCAUUUCCAUUUAUUGAGAAUCUAAGCAUGAGAGGUGAUGUGAGCCACCAAGAUAGAUAUGGAUGGAAAAUACAGUGCAGAUUCUUCUCUGGUUCUCAGGCAGGCACUCAAGGAGUCUAUCAGAGCUCUGAGCUCGCACUUGACACUGUUGCAGCCAGUUGAACUUGAUGUCUAGUGAAUUAUGAACACUACAAAACAGAAGUAGCAAGGCAGGGGAAAGGUUGGCAGUGGGAAGUGACUCUGGCCGUCUGAGAGCAAUGUGGAAAAAAACAUUGUGCAGAGGUUCUGUGAGAAUUCUAAAAUGAAACAAAUUAGUCAUGUUUGGAGCUUUUUACCAGAAAAGAAAAACUGCAGUUAUGAAUUUUGGUCUGUUUGUUUUUGAAGCCAGGCUAUAAAUCAAUUAAAAGAAGACACAGGAAUUUAUACUAUAUUUGAAUAAAUUUCUUACCAAAAUGAUAACCAUAAAAAAAUAGGGCUAACAUAUAGUCAUCUGAAAAAACUCAGCUAUCUGAAUAACUCUUUUCUAUUUGGAAGUGAUAAUUAAGUAAAUAUUAUUUUUUAACUGAACUAAAAUUAACUGAAUAGUAAUAAAAAUUUUACAAAGUUCACAACUUUGUCAGUAAUCCCCUUAUUUUGUUUGAGCAACAUAGAAAUAAUUGAUUUCAUAUAGUCAGUAUCAUACUGAUAUAUAAUUUUUCCUUUUAGUUGAAUUGUUUCUAUUUGAUUAUAAUCAAUUUGUAUUAAAAAAGUAGAACAAUGGAACAAUAAAUCUCUCAUCGUUCAUAUUGUUCUUUCUACUUUUAAACCACUUUCAUUAUCAUUGCCUGAACUAUCUCAAUGAGUUAGACAGAUGAUUUUUUUAAAAAAGUACGAACACAAAGGCCAAGAAAAUACUUUGGUGCUGAGCAAGGUCAUGGAGCUAAUGAAGGGUAGAAGAUGCAAGAACAGAGACUAAGCUUCCAUGUCAGUGACCUUUCCCAACCCUCAGGUUUUUGACGGGCUUUUGGCUCAUCGCUUUAAUUUCAUCUCCUCUAUCUGCUCAUUGAUGAGCCAUCUGGCUACUGACCUCCUUGCUCCUACGUGACUCUCAGAGUCUAGAGUCUCUUGACCUUGCACACAUAUUUUUUGGUUUCUGCUUUGUGCUGCCAACGUCCCUUGCUGUUCUCAGUCUCAGAUCUGAAUGGCUCUGAAAACUGCAGAGCUGCGUAAUGAAUCCAUGCAAGGCACUGUGGGACUCACAAUCACAGGUGGCCUUGGCCCACUCCAAUCCCCAACCUCUGGAGGUGGUCAAGGAGUACAUGUGCCUUCUCCCAGUGUGUCACCUGUAGUUCAUGUUGAAACCACGUGUACACUGGGGAGUUAGAGCCUCUGUGUCGAUCCCGGCUCUGCACCACGUGCAGUUGCAGGCAGGCAGGUGUGAGCACACACGAGCAUCCCACCAGGCAUGUGCACACACAAGUACUCCACCCCCAACCCAGAGAUGUUAUGAUUUGAGAUUAUGGUCAUAUAUCUAAAUAAAACUGCUAACAGUUUUACCAGAUAUUUUGCUUCUAAAAGUGUAUAGAAAAAUCUCAUAAUUCAUUAUAAAUAUGUAUAAGAAAAAUUCUUACCUUCUGCUUUUAAAAAGAGACUUCAUUAUUUUGUUUUAAUUAUUUUCCCCAGGAAUUUCCCAUUAAUUCUUACCAUGAAUGUACUUUAAAAAUUCUUCUUGUCGAGACACUAAUAUUAUUUCAUUCAGACUGUCUGGGAACAUUGCUUCCUUUAAGCCUGACACAGUCAUUUUUGCUUCAUUUAAAUGAUAUUUCAUUAAUGGUUAUAGGGAAAAAACAGUUCUUAAUUUAGUGUGUUUGUACAUGUAGAGUUAUGUGUAGUGUGGAGAGUUGUGUAUUUGUGUAUAUGCACAUACAGCUUUUUAUCGUUGUGUAUAACUGUGUUUAAUGGUCAAUAAUCAUCUUUUCACUUAUAAGGUACAUAUGGAUCACUGUUUUCCUCUUUGGUGGCUGGCUAUUUAUAUUACUAGUAUUUAAUAUUUUAAUUUGGGGUAUACUGUUUUCUUUUAUUUAUUAAAUAUUUUAGAAAGCCAUGUACUAGCAGUGUUUCUCUCCUAUGUGAAAUCUCAUGUAUUUGAAAACAAAGAAGUAAUAAAUAACAUUUUCCUGCCAUGUCAGUGCACUCUAUGCUAGUACUAACAAACUCAUGCAAAUAAAAUUUUAUGAUCAUUAAAUGAGUGAAGAUGUGAAAUUAUCAUAGUUUAAUAAAAGUUACUUUUAUAGCAAUUCUCAGUGUAACUUAAGAUUACCACAUCAUUUCUUUAUAUCUAAUAAAAUUAGGUCAAAUCAUACCUCACCUAACAGAAGUAAUUAGGCCAGUCAAGCUAACAGGUGUUUUUCCAAAGGCUAUUUUGUGUCUGCUUUGAUUUGUUUUCCUAAUAGCAGCUUUGUUGAUUAGAAGUCCAUUGGUGGUAGUGACUGGCAGACCCCUUGCUUCUGACAGGCUGAGCUCCCACCCACACAGGCAUGCAGGGGGAUGCACUGGCCCCAUAACCAAGCGGUAACCAAGCCACAGGAGGCACGGGGCUCUGCCUGCUGCAGGGCUGGAACACCACCCAGGAGCCUUUCCUCCGUGUCUUAUGCUGGCCUCUCCACAAGUUUUCAUUUUCUGGGCUUUUCUCUGAUUUUUAUACCACAGCCUGCCAGGAAUGGAAAGAUAACCCUUCCUUAGAUCUAGAACCUUCUUGGAGAGGGUUUGACUAAUUGAAUUAGAGCAACAGGACCCAGGGUCUUUUAGGAUUGACAAGCUCUCAUUGUAAGUAAUGCUAAAUGGAAGGGAAAUCAAUUCUUAUAAAGGAAAGGGCAAGUGAGAAACUGUUGCCCAGAAAGAUGUUCCCAACAAGCCAGAAUUUAUCAGAUGCUUCCAGUGCGCCAGGUGCUAUCCAAGCAGCCACAAGCUUGGUUCCAUUUAAUUUUCAUAGCAGCUUAGAUAUGAGCACGGUCACCACCCAUUUGAUACAGACAAGGAGGUAGUUUGAGAGGAUCAGAGGCACCCUACCACCCAUGUGACAGGACUGAAACAUGAACCAAGGCCUCUGUCACUACACGUGGUGCUCUUAACCACCAUAUGUGUUAUCCUGGCUCCCUCAAUGAUCAUUAGUGGUGAAUAUCUAGAUAUUCAGUAGAAAUAUGAUUUUAUUUCUAUAGUUUACCCAGUAAUAAAAUACAUGUGUAACUCUCUGCCAUUUUUUUCUCUGUUGCUUUUCUUUUAUUGAAUCAUCAUGCUGCUAAGUAGACUUGCUGACUGCCUACCACCCAGGAAGAAGGUGUUCAGGCAAUAUUAGACUUUGUCUUUUUAAUUUUCAUAUGAAAACUUGAAGUACAAGUAAUUGCUUUCAGGCCUGGAGACCACAGCCAUAAUUUAAUUAGCUUCUCAAGUCCAAAUUAGAUUAGUAAAGUUGUAAUGCAUGAAAAAGCACAGAAAAAUACUUUACUUUCUUUUCCAGUGUCUUUGUAACUACAGAGUAAUAAAAUCCUUAUCAAAUUAAAGUUCUGUAAUAUCUGUAUGGUGUAAUAAAUUUAGUCUUUAACUAUUCUGAAAUAUAAUGAGUCACUGAGUCGGUUGAGUAAGCCCAUCCAUUGGGCAAAAAUACCAAAAAACAUUUUCAUGCCUGUCUAUAUCAUAGUAAUGGCGUCCCAUUUAAAUAAGCAAAUCGACAUUGCUGAUGUUGAGAGCAAAGGUUAGUUUGAUGGACACUGCAUCCUAGAUUGAUUGUUCACCAUCUGUUAUUUUCAAUAAUCAGUGUUACCACCACCCAUAAAUCACAUUUGCCUCAUGAAAAAGACAGCAGCAGUUUAUAUGUAUGAUUUUUAUGAUAAGCAUCUGGAGUGUUACUUUUUUAUUUAAACAUAAAGAAUAGGAGGGUAAUAAACUCUUCCAGUGUAGUGAUCUACAUUUUUUGUUACUAUUCCUUUUUGGUAUUUUUUGAAAUUUUGCUUUUUUUGUUAUUGUUGCUUUUUAGUAGACAGCAGGAAUCUUCCAAGAAUGAAUUAGAAGUUUUUACCAUUUUUUAAGAAAGUGUAGUCUUAGCAGAGACAUAAAUUCUCUUCUUCAAUUAAACUCUCCUUGCUUAUUUUGUGGAAUUCAUAAACAUAAGGCAUAUUUAAAUUUCUUUUAUAAGAAUGGCCAAGUGUGGGCAGAAAGCUCCUGACUUUUGUGGCUUGGUCAACCAUUAGCUACUGGGAAGCAGCCUGGUGAAAGCUAUACAGCAGUGUGACAAGAAUGGGAGACUUUUAAUCUAAAACUGGCUCUUGAUUUCUCUUUUUUUCCUCUUUCUCCUCCUCCUCCUCCUCCUCCUCCUCCUCCUCCUCCUCCUCUUUCUCUUCCUUUUUUCUUUUGUUAAGUCAAAGAUGCACAAAAAUCUAUUAAUUCAUUUAACAAAUGCUUCCUGAAUGUUCACCACUUGCAGGGUGGUGAUCUAGGUAUGGGGAAUACAUCAGGAAUGAAGACACAUUUCCUUGUCCUCCUGAAAUGUACCUCCCCAGCUUCUCUUCUCUCCUUGCAAUGCCACCUGCCUGCCCCUAGUGACCUGCCUGCCCCUGCCCAGCACACUAACUUGAAUAAUUCUUGAAACUGUCAUUACUGUGCAAAAAGUUAGGGAAUGUUCAGUUAUAGAAAAUUGUGAAUUGGACCUUGAGUUGCUUGGCUAUUCCUGCUCUUUUCCUGGAGGUUUAUCUCCUUAAGGAUCUGCCUCUGCUCCUUUUCAGCUCAACACUGCUUCAUUGACUUUGGCCAUCCUAACAUAUUUAGACUGGUUCUGUCUCCACUGACUUUCUGAUCAGCAGUGCCAUUUAGCUCCCUCCCCAGUGUGGUGUAUGUUUCUCUCUGCACUCUACCUCCCAGCCCCAUACUACCCUUAGCUCCUUGCCUUUUGAUAUUCGUGAAAGGUAUUCUCAAAGUCUCUUUAAUUUGGAGUUCUUGAUUUUCCCUAAAUAUAUCUAUAUUCACUUUUUUUCAUUUUAAUGAUUUGAUAAGUCCUUUGGCUUCAGAGGUAGGAUCCACAUUGUCUUUGUCUUAUCCUUGGUGAAAGAUUUUGGCUACAUUAUUAGCAGACUGAUGCACUCUGAGUAGCCUCUUGUUAUUGUCAUCCUUAUAAUAGUAGAUGAACACAAUUAGAAACAUUAAUCAGCCGGUAGCACUUGAUGGUAUGCACUUGCAAUCUGGCUCAUGAUGAGUUGUCCCCCUCGUCAUACAGACUGGGAAACAGGCAGGGUCCUCUUAAACACUGAUGGAAAAUAGAAGAGAUUAAGUUGAUCUUAAUUAUUUAAUCAGGAAAUUUGGGAAGAAUGCACUUUCUGUUAUUUUAAUUAGAAACAUCUUUUGGUUAUGAAGUAAGAGAGAGAAGCGAGUUGGGGGUGGGAAGUGGAGAGAGAGAGAGAGACACAUUGAGGGAGACAGCAAAUUCAGUCUUUUCCCUUGAAGAAUUUGUGUAGGCUAGUUAACUGGUUUGCUUAUAUGAAAUAUCUAGAGAAGUCUAUAGGUUUUUCCAGACCUAGUAAUAAAAUGAUAAAAGGAAGUUAAAGAAAGUGACCUUCAUUGAGAGCCUGCUACUAGGCAGGUAUGUGCUGGGAGCUUUAUAGAUGUAAGCUGAGGUUCAAAAAGGCAAGAAAUGUUUGUGGGGUUAGGUAUUGAGUUCAUAUGGAACUGCAUAUUGUCUUGCACUAACUUACUCAGCUGUGAAAAUGCUACUAUUUUUGUUUGCCUUCUGAUUUUUUUUUCAUCUUUUGGUGAAAUACAACAGUAAGAUUAUAGAUAAUAUGCAAAAAAGCAAAAGUGCAAAUAAGAUAUUUGGAAUUACCAUACUUGCAUUGACUUGAUAAGGCUUUUUCUUCCCUUUUACAAUAAAAAUCUUUAUCAGUGCUUUCCAUGGAUGUGAGAAGAAGGAAGAAAAAUUAAGCAGAAAGUUGUUUUUUUUUUUUUAAAUCAAGUUGAAUAUUCUCAAUAAAAAAUAAGGCUAAAAUUUGUGUUCAGUUCAAGGCCAUUCAGUAACUAUAUGUUGAGCACAUACCAUUCUCUAGUCUGGAUGCUGUAACACCAAGGUGGAAGAAAGAAAAUAUUCAUGAUGUAAGAUUUUAGAAACCAGGAAGAAAAGGUCAAAUCAGAGGUUAUACAUGUCAAUGCCAGAAUUGAGACAAUGUACAAUAAAGAAUCUUUAUUAAAAACUGGAUGAUUCUAACGUAUGUCUAUUAUUACUUCAUGAGAGAAACAAACUUUCAUUUGCAAACUUUAAAAAGUUUUUGCACAAGCACCUGAAGUGAUUUUCUUUUGCCCUAUUAAGAUUUCUUUGAGAUACUGAGUCUUUGCCUUUCUCCUGUGAUUAAUUGUAGAGGUAAAAUAGGUUCUUACAGUAAAAUAUUUUCCUAAUAUGAAAAAAAUUGGGCUUCCAGUUCUUAACACUGGGCUGAGCAGGUCCUAUAGCUUAUCUAGGAGCAAUGGAGGGGGUGGGAAUGGGCUGAUUCCAAGGCUGUCCUCUAUUCCUGUUCCAUGUUUGUUUUUCUACCUGUUUUUCAGUGAAACUUACUGUAGUAUUAUCCCCAUGGCAUAGAGAGAGCAUGGCAGAGAUUAAUAUGCACAUUUGAGCAAAGAAAGGUAAUUGGGCAGGAGAGAAAAUGUCAGGCCUGACCUUCCUUUCUCCUCUCUUUGUUCUUUUUUCUUCUUCCUGGCAUAGUUAUCUAUUCCCCCUUAGAUGUCUUUGUAACACAGUAAAGAUAUGGCUGUUUAAGAUCACAAAAUGCAAACAGAAAGCAAAUACAAUAUUUGUAAUUUAUAAUAUACAAAUAAAUCUAAAUAAAUAAAUAAUAAAAAUCAAAUACAAUUCCACCCUCAAAUUUUGGCCAGUUGAAUGGGAUGACCUGAAGGGAGGAGAAUGAAGUGAGGUGGAGCAAAAACACCCAUGCAUAUUCGCACACCUGCAGACAUGAGCCCAUGCAUUUAGAGAGCUGGAAGCUCUUCUGUACACAGAAUUGUCAGGAAAUGUAUUUGUUUUUUCCUGCUGUUUCCUCUAUCUCUAUUAUUGCUUUUCAAAUGCAAAUUACAUUAUCACUGAGCUUCAUUUGCUCUCUGGCCUCUAAUAUUUAGCAACUGUGCUCUUCGUGGAGUUGACAAAGCAACCCACUCAGUGGAAAAUGCCCUGUGAGUGUCAGCGGCAGAGACCAGAGAUAUCAGAUUAUAUUUUAGUAGCUCCAUCCUCCCAUUAGAUUUGAACCACAGGGUGACAUCUAUCUUUGCCAGGACUCACCUGGACAAGCUAAAUCAUUAUCUUUUGGGGUUGGGGUCUGGGUAUCAGCCUUUAAUCUGUAACUAACCAACCAACCAACACUCAGUGUGGUUUCUGAUAAGACCUCGAUGUUAAGAAGCACUGAUUUCGAGAAGAGUCUCACUCUUGCAUAAAGGCCUUAGAAUUUGCCAAAGAGUAUUUAGAAAACUUAAAGGAAAGUUUGUCUUUUGAUUUUUUUUU
Molecule: long non-coding RNA, 12501 nt
Organism: Marmota monax (woodchuck)
Lineage: Eukaryota; Metazoa; Chordata; Mammalia; Rodentia; Sciuridae
Exons: 2
Source: RefSeq, a predicted model, not a curated record